GACGAACGCUGGCGGCGUGCCUAAUACAUGCAAGUAGAACGCUGAAGGAGGAGCUUGCUUCUCUGGAUGAGUUGCGAACGGGUGAGUAACGCGUAGGUAACCUGCCUGGUAGCGGGGGAUAACUAUUGGAAACGAUAGCUAAUACCGCAUAAGAGUAGAUGUUGCAUGACAUUUGCUUAAAAGGUGCAAUUGCAUCACUACCAGAUGGACCUGCGUUGUAUUAGCUAGUUGGUGGGGUAACGGCUCACCAAGGCGACGAUACAUAGCCGACCUGAGAGGGGGAUCGGCCACACUGGGACUGAGACACGGCCCAGACUCCUACGGGAGGCAGCAGUAGGGAUUCUUCGGCAAUGGACGGAAGUCUGACCGAGCAACGCCGCGUGAGUGAAGAAGGUUUUCGGAUCGUAAAGCUCUGUUGUAAGAGAAGAACGAGUGUGAGAGUGGAAAGUUCACACUGUGACGGUAUCUGACCAGAAAGGGACGGCUAACUACGUG
RNAcentral lists this ribosomal RNA (495 nucleotides) under uncultured bacterium. RNAcentral describes it as "partial 16S ribosomal RNA". It matches the Rfam family "Bacterial small subunit ribosomal RNA", at positions 28 to 507 of the family's 1533-position model. The record is from RNAcentral.